This 252-nucleotide ribosomal RNA is filed under the name uncultured bacterium. Its description in RNAcentral is "partial 16S ribosomal RNA". It matches the Rfam family "Bacterial small subunit ribosomal RNA", at positions 524 to 775 of the family's 1533-position model. The record is from RNAcentral.
GACGAAGGACCCGAGCGUUAUCCGGAUUCAUUGGGUUUAAAGGGUGCGUAGGUGGAUUGAUAAGUCAGUGGUGAAAUCUCCAGGCUUAACCUGGAAACUGCCAUUGAUACUGUCAAUCUUGAAUAUGUUUGAUGUGGGCGGAAUAUGACAUGUAGCGGUGAAAUGCUUAGAUAUGUCAUAGAACACCGAUUGCGAAGGCAGCUCACAAAGCCAUUAUUGACACUGAGGCACGAAAGUGUGGGGAUCAAACGG